CAGCAGCCACGGUAAUACAGAGGGUGCGAGCGUUAAUCGGAUUUACUGGGCGUAAAGCGUGCGUAGGCGGCUUCUUAAGUCGGAUGUGAAAUCCCUGAGCUUAACUUAGGAAUUGCAUUCGAUACUGGGAAGCUAGAGUAUGGGAGAGGAUGGUAGAAUUUCAGGUGUAGCGGUGAAAUGCGUAGAGAUCUGGAGGAAUACCGGUGGCGAAGGCGGCCCCCUGGACAAAGACUGACGCUCAGGUGCGAAAGCGUGGGGAGCAAACAGGAUUAGAUACCCGAGUAGUCCUGUCUCUUAUACA
RNAcentral lists this ribosomal RNA (301 nucleotides) under uncultured bacterium. Its description in RNAcentral is "partial 16S ribosomal RNA". It matches the Rfam family "Bacterial small subunit ribosomal RNA", at positions 509 to 809 of the family's 1533-position model. The record is from RNAcentral.